GGAGGAGGCCUUUCAGGCAUCCUCUCCCAAAACUUUCCAAGGGGCUGGUCUUCGGACCGGCCCUUCUUUUUUGCCGCC
This 78-nucleotide small RNA is filed under the name Novosphingobium sp. PhB165. RNAcentral describes it as "Makes More Granules Regulator RNA (mmgR)". It matches the Rfam family "Makes More Granules Regulator RNA (mmgR)". Rfam says of the family: SuhB later renamed mmgR (makes more granules regulator) was a putative non-coding RNA found multiple times in the Agrobacterium tumefaciens genome and related alpha-proteobacteria. Other non-coding RNAs uncovered in the same analysis include: speF, ybhL, metA, and serC. The record is from Rfam by way of RNAcentral. Lineage: Bacteria; Pseudomonadati; Pseudomonadota; Alphaproteobacteria; Sphingomonadales; Sphingomonadaceae.